GACGAACGCUGGCGGCGUGCCUAAUACAUGCAAGUAGAACGCUGAAGGAGGAGCUUGCUCUUCUGGAUGAGUUGCGAACGGGUGAGUAACGCGUAGGUAACCUGCCUGGUAGCGGGGGAUAACUAUUGGAAACGAUAGCUAAUACCGCAUAAGAGUAGAUGUUGCAUGACAUUUGCUUAAAAGGUGCAAUUGCAUCACUACCAGAUGGACCUGCGUUGUAUUAGCUAGUUGGUGGGGUAACGGCUCACCAAGGCGACGAUACAUAGCCGACCUGAGAGGGGGUUCGGCCACACUGGGACUGAGACACGGCCCAGACUCCUACGGGAGGCAGCAGUAGGGAAUCUUCGGCAAUGGACGGAAGUCUGACCGAGCAACGCCGCGUGAGUGAAGAAGGUUUUCGGAUCGUAAAGCUCUGUUGUAAGAGAAGAACGAGUGUGAGAGUGGAAAGUUCACACUGUGACGGUAUCUUACCAGAAAGGGACGGCUAACUACGUG
RNAcentral lists this ribosomal RNA (495 nucleotides) under uncultured bacterium. RNAcentral describes it as "partial 16S ribosomal RNA". It matches the Rfam family "Bacterial small subunit ribosomal RNA", at positions 28 to 507 of the family's 1533-position model. The record is from RNAcentral.